UGCGUAGCUCAGUUGGAUAGAGUGUUUGGCUACGAACCAAAAGGUCGGGGGUUCGAAUCCCUCCGC
RNAcentral lists this transfer RNA (66 nucleotides) under human gut metagenome. It matches the Rfam family "tRNA", at positions 5 to 66 of the family's 71-position model. From Rfam's summary of the family: Transfer RNA (tRNA) molecules are approximately 80 nucleotides in length. Their secondary structure includes four short double-helical elements and three loops (D, anti-codon, and T loops). Further hydrogen bonds mediate the characteristic L-shaped molecular structure. tRNAs have two regions of fundamental functional importance: the anti-codon, which is responsible for specific mRNA codon recognition, and the 3' end, to which the tRNAs corresponding amino acid is attached (by aminoacyl-tRNA synthetases). tRNAs cope with the degeneracy of the genetic code in two manners: having more than one tRNA (with a specific anti-codon) for a particular amino acid; and 'wobble' base-pairing, i.e. permitting non-standard base-pairing at the 3rd anti-codon position. RNAcentral also lists the same sequence under 1 other name. The record is from RNAcentral.